RNAcentral lists this unclassified non-coding RNA (562 nucleotides) under uncultured Bartonella sp. RNAcentral's name for it is "partial 16S-23S ribosomal RNA intergenic spacer". The stretch from base 139 to 212 matches the Rfam family "tRNA". The record is from RNAcentral. Lineage: Bacteria; Pseudomonadati; Pseudomonadota; Alphaproteobacteria; Hyphomicrobiales; Bartonellaceae.
CCCAAGCCUUCUGGCGGUCUAUGCAARKWAGCUCUCAUCAAAAGCUUUAAGGAAAGCUCUUUGUUUUUUGAAAGGGUGCUUUUAUGAGAUAGAGCUUUUUUAGAUAAUGCUGGGGAAGGUUUUCCGGUUUAUCUCGGAGGGCUUGUAGCUCAGUUGGUUAGAGCGCGCGCUUGAUAAGCGUGAGGUCGGAGGUUCAAGUCCUCCCAGGCCCACCAAUUUACCUAUCCAUUUGCCUUUAUCUGUUUAUUUGCCGAUUUAUCGGUCCAUUGAAUUUAAGUGUUGGUAGCAGUUUUAUAAUGAUGAGAAAUCAUGCUUAUAAAAGAACUCCUUAUAAAAGGCUUGUUUUUAAAAUGUGACGCUUAUCCAUUUCGCUUAGGCAAGAGAAACUUCAAGCGGUUCAAAUACAAAAGGCUUUAAGUUUUGCAAAACACUUUGAAUUUUGCAAAACACUUUGAAUUUUAAAGUGAUCCAAGUUCGUGAUCUCGAAUUUAAAAGUUUCGAAUGCUUUAUCCUUUUUUGGGGGCCGUAGCUCAGCUGGGAGAGCACCUGCUUUGCAAGCAGG